GCGGACGGCUGAGUAACACGUAGGAACCUGCCCCCAGGUAAGGAAUAGCUCAUCGAAAGAUGGGGUAAUGCCUUAUAGUCCAGGUACCGUAUGGUACCUGGUAAAGGAUUUAUUCGCCUAGGGAUGGACCUGCGGCUUAUCAGGUAGUUGGUGAGGUAACGGCUCACCAAGCCUAUGACGAGUAGCUGGCCUCAUGAGGGUGGUCAGCCACACUGGGACUGAGACACGGCCCAGACUCC
RNAcentral lists this ribosomal RNA (239 nucleotides) under uncultured bacterium. RNAcentral describes it as "partial 16S ribosomal RNA". It matches the Rfam family "Bacterial small subunit ribosomal RNA", at positions 98 to 339 of the family's 1533-position model. The record is from RNAcentral.